RNAcentral lists this ribosomal RNA (497 nucleotides) under uncultured bacterium. RNAcentral describes it as "partial 16S ribosomal RNA". It matches the Rfam family "Bacterial small subunit ribosomal RNA", at positions 28 to 507 of the family's 1533-position model. The record is from RNAcentral.
GAUGAACGCUGGCGGCGUGCCUAAUACAUGCAAGUAGAACGCUGAAGGAAGGAGCUUGCUCUUUCCGGAUGAGUUGCGAACGGGUGAGUAACGCGUAGGUAACCUGCCUGGUAGCGGGGGAUAACUAUUGGAAACGAUAGCUAAUACCGCAUAACAGUAGAUGUUGCAUGAUAUCUACUUAAAAGGUGCAAUUGCACCACUACCAGAUGGACCUGCGUUGUAUUAGCUAGUUGGUGAGGUAACGGCUCACCAAGGCGACGAUACAUAGCCGACCUGAGAGGGUGAUCGGCCACACUGGGACUGAGACACGGCCCAGACUCCUACGGGAGGCAGCAGUAGGGAAUCUUCGGCAAUGGACGGAAGUCUGACCGAGCAACGCCGCGUGAGUGAAGAAGGUUUUCGGAUCGUAAAGCUCUGUUGUAAGAGGAGAACGAGUGUGAGAGUGGAAAGUUCACACUGUGACGGUAUCUUACCAGAAAGGGACGGCUAACUACGUG